RNAcentral lists this ribosomal RNA (526 nucleotides) under soil fungal sp. DM2-037. Its description in RNAcentral is "eukaryotic LSU rRNA". It matches the Rfam family "Eukaryotic large subunit ribosomal RNA", at positions 99 to 652 of the family's 3401-position model. The record is from RNAcentral. Lineage: Eukaryota; Fungi.
CGGCAACAGCUCAAUUUGAAAUCUGGCUUCGGCCCGAGUUGUAAUUUGCAGAGGAAGCUUUAGGCGCGGCACCAACUGAGUCCCCUGGAACGGGGCGCCACAGAGGGUGAGAGCCCCGUAUAGUUGGACGCCUAGCCUGUGUAAAGCUCCUUCGACGAGUCGAGUAGUUUGGGAAUGCUGCUCAAAAUGGGAGGUAAAUUUCUUCUAAAGCUAAAUACCGGCCAGAGACCGAUAGCGCACAAGUAGAGUGAUCGAAAGAUGAAAAGCACUUUGAAAAGAGGGUUAAAUAGCACGUGAAAUUGUUGAAAGGGAAGCGCUUGUGACCAGACUUGCGCCCGGCUGAUCAUCCGGUGUUCUCACCGGUGCACUCUGCCGGGCUCAGGCCAGCAUCGGUUCUCGCGGGGGGACAAAGGUCCUGGGAACGUGGCUCCUCCGGGAGUGUUAUAGCCCAGGGCGUCAUGCCCUCGCGGGGACCGAGGUUCGCGCAUCUGCAAGGAUGCUGGCGUAAUGGUCAUCAGCGACCCGU